GCUGGGCGUGGUGUCACAUGCCUGUAAUUCCAGCUACUUGGGAGGCUGAGGCAGGAGGAUCACUUGAGCCCUGGAGGUCAAGGCUGCAGUGAAGAGUGAUCACGCCACUGCACUCUAGCCUGGGUGAGAGAGUGAGACUCUGUCUCAA
This 148-nucleotide non-coding RNA is filed under the name Pan paniscus (pygmy chimpanzee). RNAcentral also lists the same sequence under 1 other name. Lineage: Eukaryota; Metazoa; Chordata; Mammalia; Primates; Hominidae. The record is from Rfam by way of RNAcentral.